AGCAGCAGCCGCGGUAAUACGUAGGUGGCAAGCGUUGUCCGGAAUUAUUGGGCGUAAAGGGCUCGCAGGCGGUUUCUUAAGUCUGAUGUGAAAGCCCCCGGCUCAACCGGGGAGGGUCAUUGGAAACUGGGAAACUUGAGUGCAGAAGAGGAGAGUGGAAUUCCACGUGUAGCGGUGAAAUGCGUAGAGAUGUGGAGGAACACCAGUGGCGAAGGCGACUCUCUGGUCUGUAACUGACGCUGAGGAGCAAAAGCGUGGGGAGCGAACAGGAUUAGAUACCCCAGUAGUCCCUGUCUCUUAUAA
Molecule: ribosomal RNA, 303 nt
Filed under: uncultured bacterium
Lineage: Bacteria
Description: partial 16S ribosomal RNA
Rfam family: Bacterial small subunit ribosomal RNA
Source: RNAcentral